This 53-nucleotide transfer RNA is filed under the name Scolopendra dehaani. RNAcentral's name for it is "tRNA-Phe". Lineage: Eukaryota; Metazoa; Arthropoda; Chilopoda; Scolopendromorpha; Scolopendridae. The record is from RNAcentral.
GUUUAUAUAUUUUAACAAGAAAAUAAUUUUGAAGAAGUUAAGGUAUUUUAGCA